This is a small nuclear RNA of Eptesicus fuscus (big brown bat), 104 nucleotides long. NCBI's taxonomy places the organism in Eukaryota, Metazoa, Chordata, Mammalia, Chiroptera, Vespertilionidae. The record is from RefSeq and is a predicted model, not a curated record.
GUGCUCGCUUGGGCAGCACAUAUACUAAAAUUGGAACUACACAGAGAUUAGCAUGGCCCCCGUGUAAGGAUGACAUGCAAAUUAGUGAAACAUAGUUCUUAUGU